UCUGUGGGCAGAGCUGGGACCUAUUUCAGGAAGGAGGUUUAGUGAAAACUCUGAGUUUGUUAACCCUGAAAUGAGGGAAACUCAGAGUUUUCCGUUUCAGGAAGCGAGGUACCUCUAACCAGGGAAUGCGGAGUAACUCGAGCCUGUUUCACAAAGAGGGAUAACUUCAACUCUCGGUCAGUUACCGCAGUAACAGACUCUAUGACUCUAACCUGCUCGCCAGCAGGUUUAUCUGAGAAAACCUCGAGUUUCUCUCCGUCUCCGCCCUCUUUCAGCCACACACGAUGUUUCAUUUCCUCAUUCAUUCAGUCAGUAAGCGGGCGAGUUUUGGCGUAGAACAGCUUUUAUUAACGAUCCAGUGGAUAAAGGAGCAGCAUUACUGCACAGAUAAUUAAAUAUUCGUCGGUAGAUUGUUAUCAGACCGAGCAUAAAUGUUCUCGCAUUUCCGGACAAUUAUCGGUUUGAGCGGUACCGUUUCAUAAUCGUUUCAAGUCCAUAAUCUACAUAAACAACCUAAUCCAUCCUUACAUUUACAUUACCAGCCGCAGUCAUGCUCUCACAUCCAGCAGAUAUUGUGUGUUGCGCUGCGGUUCUUUUCAAAUGAAAGUUUUUAUAUGAUGUCGGAGAUGCAGAGUACUACAGUAAGACAAUUGUAUGCAGGACAGUCAGAAAAGUUUUCUGUGUGAUUGGCUGCAUAGAUGCACAUACUUCCCCAUCACAGUUCCCUCGCAUCAUGAAUAGGAAGUCCAUUCACAGCAUAAAUGUGCAGGUAGGCUACAGGUAGACUGACUACUGUUUCUAAAUGUUAAAGACUGCAUCAUAGUUCAACAUCUGUCAUUCUCUGCACUGUCCAGAUCAUAUGUGAUGCUGCACACAUCAUUCUAAUGUGGAGGCCAAGUGGUCUGGGUCUGUUCAUGACUCCAGGAUUUAUGGAGAGUCUAACCUGAGCAACAGACUGCAGCGUGGAGAGUUUGAUGGCCUUCUGCUGGGUGACAGGGGUUACCAUGCCAACCCAGGCUGAUGACCUCAUACCCUGACCCUGAACCAGGCCCCCAACAGAACUUCAACCGGGCUCACUGCAGGACCAGAGCCCGGGUGGAGAUGACCAUAGGCCUGCUGAAAGCCCGUUUCCAGAGCCUACGUCUCCUCAGGGUGACCCCUGAGAGGACCUGUGAUAUUACUGUCGCAUGUGUUGUUCUUCAUAAUAUUACCACUAUUAGAGGAGAGCAACACCCUGCCCUACAAACUGAAGACCCAGAUGAUGAGCCCAUCCACCUGCAGCUAUCCAGGACAGCAGAGCAGUCAGAGACACCGUAUGCAAUAAUCACUUUAGAGUUUAAGUCACCAUCAUCACCACCACAGCAAAUAAAGACAUGAUACACAUUUCA
Long non-coding RNA from Acanthochromis polyacanthus (spiny chromis), 1388 nucleotides. RefSeq lists it as uncharacterized. Lineage: Eukaryota; Metazoa; Chordata; Actinopteri; Pomacentridae. The transcript is spliced from 2 exons. The record is from RefSeq and is a predicted model, not a curated record.